CUACGGGCUGCACCAGUGGGGAAUAUUGCACAAUGGGCGCAAGCCUGAUGCAGCAACGCCGUGUGAGUGAUGAAGGUCUUCGGAUUGUAAAACUCUGUCCUAUGGGAAGAAAAAAAUGACGGUACCAUAGGAGGAAGCCCCGGCUAACUACGUGCCAGCAGCCGCGGUAAUACGUAGGGGGCAAGCGUUAUCCGGAAUCACUGGGCGUAAAGGGUGCGUAGGCGGCCUAUCAAGUCAGAGGUGAAAGGCAUUGGCUCAACCAAUGUAAGCCUUUGAAACUGUUUGGCUUGAGUGCAGGAGAGGUAAGUGGAAUUCCUAGUGUAGAGGUGAAAUUCGUAGAUAUUAGGAGGAACACCAGUGGCGAAGGCGACUUACUGGGCUGUAACUGACGCUGAGGCACGAAAGCGUGGGGAGCGAACAGGAUUAGAUACCCGUGUAGUC
RNAcentral lists this ribosomal RNA (441 nucleotides) under uncultured bacterium. RNAcentral describes it as "partial 16S ribosomal RNA". It matches the Rfam family "Bacterial small subunit ribosomal RNA", at positions 339 to 795 of the family's 1533-position model. The record is from RNAcentral.